GACGAACGCUGGCGGCGUGCUUAACACAUGCAAGUCGAACGGAAAGGCCCUGCUUUUGUGGGGUGCUCGAGUGGCGAACGGGUGAGUAACACGUGAGUAACCUGCCCUUGAUUUUGGGAUAACUUCAGGAAACUGGGGCUAAUACCGGAUAGGAGCUCCUGCUGCAUGGUGGGGGUUGGAAAGUUUCGGCGGUUGGGGAUGGACUCGCGGCUUAUCAGCUUGUUGGUGGGGUAGUGGCUUACCAAGGCUUUGACGGGUAGCCGGCCUGAGAGGGUGACCGGCCACAAUGGGACUGAGAGACGGAGCAGACUCCUACGGGAGGCAGCAGGGGGGAAUAUUGCACAAUGGGCGGAAGCCUGAUGCAGCAACGCCGCGUGCGGGAUGACGGCCUUCGGGUUGUAAACCGCUUUCGCCUGUGACGAAGCGUGAGUGACGGUAAUGGGUAAAGAAGCACCGGCUAACUACGUG
Molecule: ribosomal RNA, 468 nt
Filed under: uncultured bacterium
Lineage: Bacteria
Description: partial 16S ribosomal RNA
Rfam family: Bacterial small subunit ribosomal RNA
Source: RNAcentral